ACGCUGGCGGCGUGCUUAACACAUGCAAGUCGAACGGGGUGCGGGGGCUUCGGCCCCGCACCUAGUGGCGGACGGGUGAGUAACGCGUGGGUAACCUGCCCCGUACCGGGGGGACAACAGCUGGAAACGGCUGCUAAUACCGCAUAAGCGCCGCCUGCCGCAUGGCGGGCGGCGGAAAGAUUCAUCGGUACGGGAUGGGCCCGCGUCUGAUUAGCCAGUUGGCAGGGUAACGGCCUACCAAAGCGACGAUCAGUAGCCGAUCUGAGAGGAUGACCGGCCACAUUGGGACUGAGACACGGCCCAAACUCCUACGGGAGGCAGCAGUGGGGAAUAUUGCACAAUGGGGGGAACCCUGAUGCAGCGACGCCGCGUGGGUGAUGAAGUAUUUCGGUAUGUAAAGCCCUAUCAGCAGGGAAGAAGACGACGGUACCUGACUAAGAAGCACCGGCUAAAUACGUGCCAGCCGCGGC
Molecule: ribosomal RNA, 470 nt
Filed under: uncultured bacterium
Lineage: Bacteria
Description: bacterial SSU rRNA
Rfam family: Bacterial small subunit ribosomal RNA
Source: RNAcentral